This 483-nucleotide ribosomal RNA is filed under the name uncultured bacterium. RNAcentral's name for it is "bacterial SSU rRNA". It matches the Rfam family "Bacterial small subunit ribosomal RNA", at positions 29 to 524 of the family's 1533-position model. The record is from RNAcentral.
AACGAACGCUGGCGGCGCGUCUUAAACAUGCAAGUCGAACGAUCUGUAGCAAUACAGGGAGUGGCGGACGGGUGAGGAACACGUAGGAAUCUACCUAGAAGAGCGGGACAACUUUGGGAAACCGGGGCUAAUACCGCAUAGUACAGAGAUGUUAAAGGGCUAGCAAUAGUCGCUUCUAGUUGAGCCUGCGGUCUAUCAGCUUGUUGGUGAGGUAAUGGCUCACCAAGGCAGCGACGGAUAGCCGGUCUGAGAGGAUGAUCGGCCACACUGGCACUGAGACACGGGCCAGACUCCUACGGGAGGCAGCAGUUAAGAAUCUUGCGCAAUGGGGGAAACCCUGACGCAGCGACGCCGCGUGAAGGAUGAAGGCUUUCGGGUUGUAAACUUCGGUAGACUGGGAAGAAGAACUACGUUCGUUGAGGGCGUAGAGUAACGGUACCAGUCUGAAGCCCCGGCUAAUUACGUGCCAGCAGCCGCGGUAAU